RNAcentral lists this ribosomal RNA (372 nucleotides) under uncultured organism. Its description in RNAcentral is "partial 16S ribosomal RNA". It matches the Rfam family "Bacterial small subunit ribosomal RNA", at positions 527 to 896 of the family's 1533-position model. The record is from RNAcentral.
GUAGGUGGCAAGCGUUGUCCGGAAUUAUUGGGCGUAAAGCGCGCGCAGGCGGUUCUUUAAGUCUGAUGUGAAAGCCCACGGCUCAACCGUGGAGGGCCAUUGGAAACUGGAGAACUUGAGUACAGAAGAGGAAAGCGGAAUUCCACGUGUAGCGGUGAAAUGCGUAGAGAUGUGGAGGAACACCAGUGGCGAAGGCGGCUUUCUGGUCUGUAACUGACGCUGAGGCGCGAAAGCGUGGGGAGCAAACAGGGAUUAGAUACCCUGGUAGUCCACGCCGUAAACGAUGAGUGCUAAGUGUUAGGGGGUUUCCGCCCCCUUAGUGCUGCAGCUAACGCAUUAAGCACUCCGCCUGGGGAUACGGCCGCAAGGCUG